UAUCAUUGGGAGACCUUCAUAAGCCAUGGCA
This 31-nucleotide non-coding RNA is filed under the name Mus musculus (house mouse). The record is from RNAcentral. Lineage: Eukaryota; Metazoa; Chordata; Mammalia; Rodentia; Muridae.